This 499-nucleotide ribosomal RNA is filed under the name uncultured bacterium. RNAcentral's name for it is "partial 16S ribosomal RNA". It matches the Rfam family "Bacterial small subunit ribosomal RNA", at positions 899 to 1397 of the family's 1533-position model. The record is from RNAcentral.
ACUCAAAUGAAUAGACGGGGGCCCGCACAAGCGGUGGAGGAUGUGGUUUAAUUCGACGCAACGCGAAGAACCUUACCAAGGCUUGACAUCCACAGAAGACGCUAGAAAUAGUGUUGUGCCCGAAAGGGAACUGUGAGACAGGUGGUGCAUGGCUGUCGUCAGCUCGUGUCGUGAGAUGUUGGGUUAAGUCCCGCAACGAGCGCAACCCUCGAUGUUAGUUACCAUCAUUAAGUUGGGGACUCUAACGUGACUGCCGGUGAUAAGCCGGAGGAAGGUGAGGACGACGUCAAGUCAUCAUGCCCCUUACGUCUUGGGCUACACACGUCCUACAAUGGCAUAGACAAAGGGCUGCUAGACCGCGAGGUUAUGCGAAUCCCAUAAACUAUGUCUCAGUUCGGAUUGCAGGCUGCAACUCGCCUGCAUGAAGUCGGAAUCGCUAGUAACCGUAGAUCAGCACGCUACGGUGAAUACGUUCCCGGGCCUUGCACACACCGCCCGU